RNAcentral lists this microRNA precursor (72 nucleotides) under Jaculus jaculus (lesser Egyptian jerboa). RNAcentral's name for it is "miRNA (ENSJJAG00000001450.1)". Lineage: Eukaryota; Metazoa; Chordata; Mammalia; Rodentia; Dipodidae. The record is from RNAcentral.
UAGACCCAGAGGCUUAUAGCUCCAAGUCAUAAGAGCUACAGCCUAUUGUUCUAGGCUUUAGAAGCCAGAGAC